AGAGUUUGAUCCUGGCUCAGAUUGAACGCUGGCGGCAGGCUUAACACAUGCAAGUCGAACGGUAACAGGAGAAAGCUUGCUUUCUUGCUGACGAGUGGCGGACGGGUGAGUAAUGCUUGGGAAUCUGGCUUAUGGAGGGGGAUAACUACGGGAAACUGUAGCUAAUACCGCGUAAUAUCUUCGGAUUAAAGGGUGGGACUUUCGGGCCACCUGCCAUAAGAUGAGCCCAAGUGGGAUUAGGUAGUUGGUGGGGUAAAGGCCUACCAAGCCGACGAUCUCUAGCUGGUCUGAGAGGAUGACCAGCCACACUGGAACUGAGACACGGUCCAGACUCCUACGGGAGGCAGCAGUGGGGAAUAUUGCACAAUGGGGGGAACCCUGAUGCAGCCAUGCCGCGUGAAUGAAGAAGGCCUUCGGGUUGUAAAGUUCUUUCGGUGAUGAGGAAGGUGUUUGUUUUAAUAGAACAAGCAAUUUGACGUUAGUCACAGAAGAAGCACCGGCUAACUCCGUGCCAGCAGCCGCGGUAAUACGGAGGGUGCGAGCGUUAAUCGGAAUGACUGGGCGUAAAGGGCACGCAGGCGGUGACUUAAGUGAGAUGUGAAAGCCCCGAGCUUAACUUGGGAAUUGCAUUUCAUACUGGGUCGCUAGAGUAUUUUAGGGAGGGGUAGAAUUCCACGUGUAGCGGUGAAAUGCGUAGAGAUGUGGAGGAAUACCGAAGGCGAAGGCAGCCCCUUGGGAAUAUACUGACGCUCAUGUGCGAAAGCGUGGGGAGCAAACAGGAUUAGAUACCCUGGUAGUCCACGCUGUAAACGCUGUCGAUUUGGGGAUUGGGCUUAGAGCUUGGUGCCCGUAGCU
RNAcentral lists this ribosomal RNA (855 nucleotides) under uncultured bacterium. Its description in RNAcentral is "bacterial SSU rRNA". It matches the Rfam family "Bacterial small subunit ribosomal RNA", at positions 8 to 853 of the family's 1533-position model. The record is from RNAcentral.